UUCUCCCAAAUAUUUUGCAAUUCAUCAACUUUCAUUUUAAAUGAAUAUAGAUAAAAGUUUGAUUAAUCAACUUGAUCAUUCCAUGAUAUCAGAAAUUUCCGGUGCUUGUGCUUCGUUCUUUCCAUUUUUGCCACAAACGGCCAUAAAGACAUUUAAAAGACCCGCAACUCAAUUAACAGCAUUGUCAACCUCGAAAAUGAAGAUUAUCAUUUCAUAUUUACUUUGCAACCACAUGACAAAGAAGUGCUUGAUCAUUUGACCCUCCUACUAAAUUUGAGGGAACAAGAUAAUCAAAACUGAGUGUAUCAAAAUGGUGAGCAACAAUGUGGUGUCAUGUCUAAUACUCCAACAAGCAUGACCAUGUCAUGUGACAUCUGUUACGUCACUAAUAUAUUCAAGUACAUAACCACUACCAUACCCAAGUAGUACAAAUCCCAACCCAUCUAAUAUGGGACACUAAUGCAUGCAGAUCAUGGACACGGAUACAUGAAGUCCAUGUGGCUUCAAGAGCACAAUGACCACAAAAUUUCUUUCCUUUUUACUUUUU
This 547-nucleotide long non-coding RNA is filed under the name Phoenix dactylifera (date palm). Its description in RNAcentral is "long non-coding RNA (PDAC_LNC020351)". Lineage: Eukaryota; Viridiplantae; Streptophyta; Magnoliopsida; Arecales; Arecaceae. The record is from RNAcentral.